Molecule: ribosomal RNA, 487 nt
Filed under: uncultured Sphingobacteriales bacterium
Lineage: Bacteria; Pseudomonadati; Bacteroidota; Sphingobacteriia; Sphingobacteriales
Description: bacterial SSU rRNA
Rfam family: Bacterial small subunit ribosomal RNA
Source: RNAcentral
CUCAGAAACUUAAAUGAAUUGACGGGGCCGCACAAGCGGAGGAGCAUGUGGUUAAUUCGAUGAUACGCGAGGAACCUUACCUGGGCUCGGACGUAAGAUGACUGUAGGUGAAAGCUUACAUCUCUUCGGAGCAUUUUACGAGGUGCUGCAUGGUUGUCGUCAGCUCGUGCCGUGAGGUGUCGGGUUAAGUCCCAUAACGAGCGCAACCCCUACCUUUAGUUGCCAUCAGGUUAAGCUGGGGACUCUAAAGGAACUGCCUACGCAAGUAGUGAGGAAGGCGGGGAUGACGUCAAAUCAGCACGGCCCUUACGUCCAGGGCUACACACGUGCUACAAUGGCCGAUACAGAGGGCAGCUACCUGGUGACAGGAUGCAAAUCUCCAAAGUCGGUCUCAGUUCGGAUCGGAGUCUGCAACCCGACUCCGUGAAGUUGGAUUCGCUAGUAAUCGCGCAUCAGCCAUGGCGCGGUGAAUACGUUCCCGGGCCUU